GGCUGCUUGACUAAGGGGUACAGCGUCGGACUUGUAAUACGAAGACCGAAAGUUUAAAUCUCUCAGUAGUCU
This 72-nucleotide transfer RNA is filed under the name Sphaerobolus stellatus SS14. Its description in RNAcentral is "tRNA-Thr (TGT) (tRNA-Thr-TGT-9-1, tRNA-Thr-TGT-9-2)". It matches the Rfam family "tRNA". From Rfam's summary of the family: Transfer RNA (tRNA) molecules are approximately 80 nucleotides in length. The record is from RNAcentral. Lineage: Eukaryota; Fungi; Basidiomycota; Agaricomycetes; Geastrales; Sphaerobolaceae.